Rhododendron vialii is the source of this 780-nucleotide long non-coding RNA. RefSeq lists it as uncharacterized. The transcript is spliced from 2 exons. Lineage: Eukaryota; Viridiplantae; Streptophyta; Magnoliopsida; Ericales; Ericaceae. The record is from RefSeq and is a predicted model, not a curated record.
UAAAGGAGGAGGAGAGAAGAAGAGAAGAAAGAGGGAGGAGGAAAAAAUAAAAAUAAAGAAGAGCAAAGGAAGAAGGCACCACCACAAAAAUUUGAUUUCGUUCAUUCCAUGUACCUGUUUUUAUUGCCAUUUUCCUCCUAGUUAAACUCGUUUUUAGGCUGUGUUUUCUUCAUGAAAGUUGUAGAGGGUGUCAAGACCUUCGAUUUUGACCCAAGAAUCACCCAAAAUGGUCAAGAAUCGAUAGAGUUAUCGCUAUUCAAAGUUUGGUAAAAUUCUCGGAUCCUGAUUUCCAGGCAGAUUCAGCAACUCUUCUAAACUUCCAUUUUUCUCCUACUUAGAGUGGUUUUCGGGCUUAGACCUCUUCACAAAAGUUGUAGAGCGUUUCAAGAUAUUCGUGUUAGACACAAGAAUCGUCCAAAACAGCAGAGGUUUGGUCAAGUUAUUCCAAUCCAAAGUUGCUGCUAGAAUACCAAUCUUUCGCCGCCAAAUGAAAACCCACCGGACUCCACCGAAUCGUUUUGUCCAGAUUAAAGGUAAUCAAGAGACCGAAGAGCAGAAUCAUCUUCAAGAUGAUCAGUAUCAGGGUGAGGACCUCCCAGCUGAGGAAUGGGAGUUUGUCGAGCCUUGGAUACCCUACCCUUAGAAGCUCUGCUAAUUUAAAGUAUUGUUAUUUAAAUUUUCAAAAGUGUUAUCACAUUUGUCAAACUCUGUUUUUAUUUCAUUGGGUUGUAAGACAGUUAAGUUGUUUUGAAUUCGGUAUUUGAGAUUUUUGCUGCUAAA